AGCAGGAUCAUUCUUGGAAGGAAUACCUGUUUAUUUCUUUCGAAAACUAUCUUUUUUUUUCUGUUUUUUGAAAAAACUGGUCGGGAAUCCUCCUCAGACAGCGGCAGCGUCAAACCUGUUUUUGCUUGGUCUCCUUCUCAUCGGUCCUGUGUCUCGCUUCGGCUUGAGUAUCAGGCUGGUGGGCGGUUGGGUAACACAGAGUGCGGGGGAUGUUGCUCUCCAACCGUUUCAUACAACGCUCAACGAUGGAUAUCUCGGCUUGGUGAUCGAUGAAGGACGCAGCAAAGUGCGACAAGUGUCAUGACUUGCAGAUACCCGAGAGCUGACAAAUUUCUGAAUGCAAAUUGCAGCCAAGUUAACCUGGCUAUGCAAUGCAGAGAGUACUUCGCGUAUGCGCUUACUCUAGGGUUGAGCACAACUUCGGUUGUCACUUCUGGACCUGCAUGAUUGAGUAUGUUGACGUUGGCGCGCAAAAAAAGUGUCGACCGUCCAAGCUCUCCCAUGUUAAAGUCAGAAAACCAUCGAGUUUUCCUGAACAUUUUUUAUAUGAGAAAAGAGUUUAAUCUCUCUUACCCUCUCACCUCUCACCUCUGCAUUGUAGGAGAACCCGCUGAACUUAAGCAUAUCAUUGAGCGGAGGACAAGAAAACAACUGUGAUUCCCUGAGUAACUGCGAGUGAAUAGGGAGGAGCCUAUGCUUGAAUUCGGUGUGGAUGGAACCGGAAACACCGAAAUUGUAGUGCAAGGGUGUGAGAAGGUGCGAGCUAGUCGGAAGAAUCGCUCUGGAACGAGCAACCAAUGAGGGCUAUCGUCCCGUACCCUCCGACGCAGCCGUGCCAAUUUUUCGCUCCCCAAGAGUCGGGCAGUUUGAGAAUGCUGUCCAAAACCGCAGGUGUACUCCUGCGAAGGCUAAAUAUUUCACCAAGACCGAUAGCGAACAAGUAGUGUGAACGAAAGAUGAAAAGUACUUUGAAAAGAGAGUGAAAAGUCCUUGACAUUGUUGGGCGCAAAGGGUAUGAGACCCAUUGUAUGCUUUUGCUGAUCAGCGAGGGCUGUCAACGCGGGUUUCCGGCUUCUGCAGGAGGGACUCUGCAUCCUCGUUUCGGCGUUGGUGAGACCCCUCUGUUGCAGAAAGUUGGAGACUUGGCAGAAUCACUUGGCCGACGCGAUUUGAUUUUGAUUGUGGUUGUGCUGUCGAAGCAUCUUCUCUCGUGGGAGGUCUUCACGGUGCACUCAUUGUCACCAGGUUGCGUCGAGCCAGGGAAUCGUUGACCAUUUAAUGGUCUCUUACCACCCGUCUUGAAACACGGACCAAGGAGUCUACCGAAUGUGCGAGUGUUAUGGUGAUUGAAACCAAACGACGCACAAUGAAAGUAAUGCCUGUGAACCGCGGCGGAGAUCGUCGUUGGCGCAACAGGGCUCGGUCCUUAUCAGAAGAAAGGGAUCUGAAGUUGAGCACAUUCGCUGGGACCCGAAAGAUAGCGAGCUUUUCCUGGGCCGAAGGAAGCCAGGGGAAACCUUGGUGGACGUUCGAAUGCAGUGCUGACGUGCAAAUCGCUUGUCAGAUCUGGGUAAAGGGGCGAAAGACUCAUCGAGCUAUCUAGUAGCUGGUUCCCUC
RNAcentral lists this unclassified non-coding RNA (1617 nucleotides) under uncultured fungus. RNAcentral describes it as "sequence contains 18S rRNA gene, ITS1, 5.8S rRNA gene, ITS2, 28S rRNA gene". The stretch from base 585 to 1617 matches the Rfam family "Eukaryotic large subunit ribosomal RNA", at positions 1 to 961 of the family's 3401-position model. The record is from RNAcentral. Lineage: Eukaryota; Fungi.